UGGGCAACCUGCCCUCAGCUCUGGGAUAACUCCAAGAAAUUGGGGCUAAUACCGGAUAUGACUGCUGACCGCAUGGUCUGGUGGUGGAAAGAUUUAUCGGCUGGGGAUGGGCCCGCGGCCUAUCAGCUUGUUGGUGAGGUAA
This 142-nucleotide ribosomal RNA is filed under the name uncultured bacterium. RNAcentral's name for it is "partial 16S ribosomal RNA". It matches the Rfam family "Bacterial small subunit ribosomal RNA", at positions 118 to 260 of the family's 1533-position model. The record is from RNAcentral.